This is a transfer RNA of Drosophila melanogaster (fruit fly), 75 nucleotides long. It matches the Rfam family "tRNA". From Rfam's summary of the family: Transfer RNA (tRNA) molecules are approximately 80 nucleotides in length. NCBI's taxonomy places the organism in Eukaryota, Metazoa, Arthropoda, Insecta, Diptera, Drosophilidae. The record is from Rfam.
GACCCAUUUGCUCAGUUGGUUAGAGCGUCGUGCUAAUAACGCGAAGGUCGCGGGUUCAAAAUCCCCUCAUUGUCG